Molecule: ribosomal RNA, 497 nt
Filed under: uncultured bacterium
Lineage: Bacteria
Description: partial 16S ribosomal RNA
Rfam family: Bacterial small subunit ribosomal RNA
Source: RNAcentral
GAUGAACGCUGGCGGCGUGCCUAAUACAUGCAAGUCGAGCGAACGGACGAGAAGCUUGCUUCUCUGAUGUUAGCGGCGGACGUGUGAGUAACACGUGGAUAACCUACCUAUAAGACUGGGAUAACUUCGGGAAACCGGAGCUAAUCCCGUAUAAUAUUUUGAACCGCAUGGUUCAAAAGUGAAAGACGGUCUUGCUGUCACUUAUAGAUGGAUCUGCGCUGCAUUAGCUAGUUGGUAAGGUAACGGCUUACCACGGCAAGGAUGCAUAGCCGACCUGAGAGGGGGAUCGGCCACACGAGAGCGUAGACACGGUCAGUAGUCCUACGAGAGGCCGCAGUAGGGAAUCGUACGCAGUGGGCGAAAGCCUGACGGAGCAACGCCGCGUGAGUGAUGAAGGUCUUCGGAUCGUAAAACUCUGUUAUGAGGGAAGAACAGAUGUGUAAGGAACUGUGCACAGCUUGACGGUACCUAAUCAGAAAGCCACGGCUAACUACGUG